AUGGCGACCCCUUUCUCCCUCACAAAGGAUGUCAUCAAGAUGCAGUUUGCAACCAACCAAGUCGGGCAUUUUCUUUUGACAGACAUCCAAGGAAGAAUUGCUAAUGUUUUGUCAGAGGGGCACUGGUUUGCAUACAAGGAAGGCAUCUGGUUGGCCAAGCUAAAUGAUGAGGAAGAGUAUAACACCAUUGCAGCAUAUGGGCAGUCAAAGCUUGCAAGCAUUUUACAUGCGAAUGAACUUGCUAGGAGAUUUAAGAGAAAUGCUAUUCUUCUCAGUUUUUCACUGUGCGCUAGGCUGAUGCAGCAACACACAAAUGGUUUGGGUUUGUAA
This 330-nucleotide ribosomal RNA is filed under the name Triticum aestivum (bread wheat). RNAcentral's name for it is "partial small subunit ribosomal RNA". The record is from RNAcentral. Lineage: Eukaryota; Viridiplantae; Streptophyta; Magnoliopsida; Poales; Poaceae.